UUCAAGUUCAUCGUUUCUUUCUCUCUUCUUCGUUGGAACCGAAACGACCAGUUUACCGAAACAAUAAAAAAAUUCAAUUGAUCUUCUACAAAGAUUUUGUUUCUCAAGACAUGCAUGAUCUUUGCUAUUUGAUCGGAGGAAAAGUAAGUUAUAAUUUUUAACCUAACUCUUAUAGCUAAUCUGAUCUCUUAUAGUUUAUAAAUCGUGUAAAGAAUUGGUUUGGUUAAUAAGUUUGUUGAUCUAGAUAUGCAAACCUUGUAGAUCACACAGUAAUUUGAGAGAUCAAGUCAAGGAAACAGAUACUAUUCAGGUUGAAAGUAGCGGAUGCAAAAUCAGUGGCCGAUUUGAAACGAAAUACGUGGUUCGUCAUGUCAAUCGAGCAACAGAAAAGAUAAGUUUCAUAAUUUUCUUUGAGUGUUUGUUUAUUCAUAAUAUCUAAUCUAAUAAAUCGAGCUUGUUACAAACAUUGGCAGAUUGAAAUAUAUUGGAUACAAAAAGCUAAGCUCAGCUGCGUUGAGAUAACACACACACACACUGCACGUAUCUGAAGGCUUUGUUCCAGACUAUAUUGGCAAAUCUUAAUGUGGAUAGAAUAUUCUGGAUAUCGAUUGUAUGUAGAUAAUUAUUAGAUAUUAAACGAAUUGAAAUUA
RNAcentral lists this long non-coding RNA (650 nucleotides) under Brassica rapa (field mustard). RNAcentral describes it as "long non-coding RNA (BRAP_LNC006731)". The record is from RNAcentral. Lineage: Eukaryota; Viridiplantae; Streptophyta; Magnoliopsida; Brassicales; Brassicaceae.